Molecule: ribosomal RNA, 301 nt
Filed under: uncultured bacterium
Lineage: Bacteria
Description: partial 16S ribosomal RNA
Rfam family: Bacterial small subunit ribosomal RNA
Source: RNAcentral
CAGCAGCCGCGGUAAUACGGAGGGGGCUAGCGUUGUUCGGAAUUACUGGGCGUAAAGCGCACGUAGGCGGCUUGGUAAGUUAGAGGUGAAAGCCUGGAGCUCAACUCCAGAAUUGCCUUUAAGACUGCCGAGCUAGCAGGUGAGAGAGGUAAGUGGAAUUCCGAGUGUAGAGGUGAAAUUCGUAGAUAUUCGGAAGAACACCAGUGGCGAAGGCGGCUUACUGGCUCAUACUGGACGUUGAGGUGCGAAAGCGUGGGGAGCAAACAGGAUUAGAUACCCCGGUAGUCCCUGUCUCUUAUAA